UCCGAGUUGACCCCGGCAGUCUCCCAUGAGUCCCCGGCAUAACCCGCUGGCAACAUAGGACAAGGGUUGCGCUCGUUGCGGGACUUAACCCAACAUCUCACGACACGAGCUGACGACAGCCAUGCACCACCUGUCACCGACCCCCGAAGGGACCCCCCAUCUCUGAAGGAUUUCCGGCGAUGUCAAACCCAGGUAAGGUGGGGAUGACGUUACA
RNAcentral lists this unclassified non-coding RNA (214 nucleotides) under uncultured Actinomycetes bacterium. Its description in RNAcentral is "uncultured actinobacterium contains 16S-23S intergenic spacer region". The record is from RNAcentral. Lineage: Bacteria; Bacillati; Actinomycetota; Actinomycetes.